GUGCACACGGCUCCAUCUGUUGUCUUACGAGCGCCAGGCCGCCCUUGCCCGUGCUUUCUGCUCUGCAGACCCUCUUCCUAGGCCUCCGUCCUUUGUCCCCUCGCUGCCUUCCCUUCAAGCUCAGGGUCAAGCUGUCCGCCAGCCUCGGCUCCUCCGGGCAUCCCUCGGCCUGGGUGCGCCCCGGGGCAGGACCCCCAGCCCAGGCCCAGGGCCCGCCCCUGCCCUCCAGCCUACACCUUGACCUUCUUUCCUGCGUCUCUCAGCAUACCUCACCUUGUCUUUACCUCUGUGGGCAGCUCCCUUGUGAUCUGCUUGGUUCCCACCCCGCUUUAAGAAUUAAAUAGAGAAGCCAGACGCAGAAGUACAGAUAUCGUAUGAGUCCACUUUUGUGAGGUGCCUAGAAUAGUCAAAAUUCAUAGAGACAGAGCAGUGGUCGCCAAGAAUGGGGAAGCAAGGCGGAGCCGGGCAGCUCAAUGGUGUUCAAUGGUUUUGUCCGCCUUCCCUGCCCCCUCUUCUGGGGCAGUUGGAUCGAGCUGUAACAGAACAUGCCACUGUCUCACUGGCUGCAGCGUGUGGUCCCCUCACCAGAGUGAGGAUGCAAAGAGAAGGUGGCUGUCUGCAAACCAGGAAGAGAGCCCUCACCAGGAACCCGUCCAACUGCCACCUUGAACUUGGACUUCCAAGCCUCCAGAACUGUGAGGGAUAAAUGUAUGAUUUUAAAG
Mandrillus leucophaeus (drill) is the source of this 722-nucleotide long non-coding RNA. RefSeq lists it as uncharacterized. The record is from RefSeq and is a predicted model, not a curated record. The transcript is spliced from 3 exons. NCBI's taxonomy places the organism in Eukaryota, Metazoa, Chordata, Mammalia, Primates, Cercopithecidae.